AGACAUCUAAUAUUCCAUCAAAUACUCAAGGACAUAGUAUUUCAAAUAAUCAAUCCAAUAAUUCCGAAAUAUUGAACCUAUUAAGAAAAAGUUUUGACAAUAUGAAUGAGAUGAUGACAAAAUUGAUCGCCAAGGGGCAAAAAUUAAGAAAUGAAAUAUCUAUUUUUAAGGGACGAGUUUGAGGAGAGACGCAUAAGGCGAAAUUGAUGUUGCCAAGUUCACCAAACGCUACUCUUGGGGACUUUGAGGCAUUUGAAGAAUGUCUUAAAGAUGAGAAGUCCUUCAAGAAUUUGUCGCAAGUUCUUAGAAAAUUUAAGACAAAUUCAUCAGGAGCUCCUGGCGCCAGUUAGUUAGAGACGAUGUUGCAAAACAAUGCUCCUGGUGUGGGGCGGAGAAAAAAAUGUGCGUUAGAGGCCUUCCAAUGCUUUUAAAAGCAAGCUUGCCUGGAGGACGACGAUUUCGACUGCGUAACACAGAAAUAUUUUGAAUACAGGAAAGAGUGGCGCUCUUAGAAAAAUCUGAUGCCAAA
This is a long non-coding RNA of Drosophila montana, 529 nucleotides long. RefSeq lists it as uncharacterized. The record is from RefSeq and is a predicted model, not a curated record. The transcript has 4 exons. Lineage: Eukaryota; Metazoa; Arthropoda; Insecta; Diptera; Drosophilidae.